RNAcentral lists this ribosomal RNA (253 nucleotides) under uncultured bacterium. RNAcentral's name for it is "partial 16S ribosomal RNA". It matches the Rfam family "Bacterial small subunit ribosomal RNA", at positions 524 to 776 of the family's 1533-position model. The record is from RNAcentral.
UACGUAGGCAGCGAGCGUUGUUCGGAAUUACUGGGCGUAAAGCGCGCGUAGGCGGCUUUGUAAGUUAGAGGUGAAAGCCCGGGGCUCAACUCCGGAACUGCCUUUAAGACUGCAUCGCUUGAAUCCGGGAGAGGUGAGUGGAAUUCCGAGUGUAGAGGUGAAAUUCGUAGAUAUUCGGAAGAACACCAGUGGCGAAGGCGGCUCACUGGACCGGUAUUGACGCUGAGGUGCGAAAGCGUGGGGAGCAAACAGG